CCUACGGGAGGCUGCAGUGAGGAAUAUUGGUCAAUGGGCGCGAGCCUGAACCAGCCAUGCCGCGUGAAGGUCAGUGCCCUAUGGGCGUUAAACUUCUUUUGUGCGGGAGCAAUAAUGGUCACGUGUGGCCAGACGAGAGUACCGUACGAAUAAGCAUCGGCUAACUCCGUGCCAGCAGCCGCGGGAAUACGGGGGAUGCAAGCGUUAUCCGGAUUUAUUGGGUUUUAAGGGUGCGUAGGCUGUGAGGUAAGUCAGCGGUGAAAUGCCCCCGCUCAACGGGGUGAAGUGCCAUUGAUACUGCCUAGCUGGAAUGCGGAUGCCGUGGGAGGAAUGUGUGGUGUAGCGGUGAAAUGCAUAGAUAUCACACAGAACACCGAUUGCGAAGGCAUCUCACGAAUCCGCGAUUGACGCUGAUGCACGAAAGCGUGGGUAUCAAACAGGAUUAGAUACCCCAGUAGUC
Molecule: ribosomal RNA, 460 nt
Filed under: uncultured bacterium
Lineage: Bacteria
Description: partial 16S ribosomal RNA
Rfam family: Bacterial small subunit ribosomal RNA
Source: RNAcentral